RNAcentral lists this small RNA (505 nucleotides) under uncultured Glomus. RNAcentral describes it as "SSU rRNA". It matches the Rfam family "Eukaryotic small subunit ribosomal RNA", at positions 569 to 1079 of the family's 1831-position model. The record is from RNAcentral. Lineage: Eukaryota; Fungi; Glomeromycota; Glomeromycetes; Glomerales; Glomeraceae.
AGCAGCUGUGGUAAUUCCAGCUCCAAUAGCGUAUAUUAAAGUUGUUGCAGUUAAAAAGCUCGUAGUUGAAUUUCGGGGUUAGUAGGUUGGUCGUGCCACUGGUAUGUACUGGUCUCACUGAUUCCUCCUUCCUGAUGAACCGUAAUGCCAUUAAUUUGGUAUUGCAGGGAGACUGGACUGUUACUUUGAAAAAAUUAGAGUGUUUAAAGUAGGCUAACGCUUGAAUACAUUAGCAUGGAAUAACAGAAUAGAACGUUCGAUCUUAUUUUGUUGGUUUCUAAGAUUGAUGUAAUGAUUAAUAGGGAUAGUUGGGGUAUUAGUAUUCAAUUGUCAGAGGUGAAAUUCUUGGAUUUAUUGAAGACUAACUACUGUGAAAGCAUUUGCCAAGGAUGUUUUCAUUAAUCAAGAACGAAAGUUAGGGGAUCGAAGACGAUCAGAUACCAUCGUAGUCUUAACCAUAAACUAUGCUGACUAGGGAUCGGAUGAUAUUAAUUUUUUAAUGACU